UAUUAUAUUUAAUGUAAAUUAGUUACUAAGGUAGUAUAACAAAAUCUUGAAACCUAAAGAAUUUGGCGGUGUUUUAGUCUUUUCAGAGGAAUCUGUCCUGUAAUUGAUAAUACACGAUUUGUUUUACUUAAUUUUGUUAUCAGCUUAUAUACCGCCGUCAUAAGAUUAUUUUUUUAAAGAAUUGAAUAUUCUUAUUUUUGAAUUAUAAAAGAUGUCAGGUCAAGGUGUAGUUUAUAAUUAAGUAGAGAUGGAUUACAAUAAUAUUAAUUAUUAUGGAUAAUUUUUUAAAAUUGAAUUGAAGGUGGAUUUGAUUGUAAAUUUAUUAUAAUUUUUGAAUUGAUUUAAGCUCUGGAAUGUGUACAUAUCGCCCGUCGCUCUCGUUAAUAAAUGAG
Molecule: ribosomal RNA, 392 nt
Filed under: Gnominthus baitabagus
Lineage: Eukaryota; Metazoa; Arthropoda; Insecta; Orthoptera; Gryllidae
Description: partial 12S ribosomal RNA
Source: RNAcentral